GACGAACGCUGGCGGCGUGCUUAACACAUGCAAGUCGAACGGAAAGGCCCUGCUUUUGUGUGGUGCUCGAGUGGCGAACGGGUGAGUAACACGUGAGUAACCUGCCCUUGACUUUGGGAUAACUUCAGGAAACUGGGGCUAAUACCGGAUAGGAGCUCCUGCUGCAUGGUGGGGUUGGAAAGUUUCGGCGGCUGGGGAUGGACUCGCGGCUUAUCUGCUUGUUGGGGGGGUAGUGGCUUACCAAGGCUUUGACGGGUAGGCGGCCUGAGAGGUUGACCAGCCACAUUGGUCCUGAGAUACGGCGCAGACUCCUACGGGGGGCAGCAGGGGGGAAUAUUGCACAGUGGGCGGAAGCCUGAUGCAGCAACGCCGCGUGCGGGAUGACGGCCUUCGGGUUGUAAACCGCUUUCGCCUGUGACGAAGCGUUAGUGACGGUAAUGGGUAAAGAAGCACCGGCUAACUACGUG
This 467-nucleotide ribosomal RNA is filed under the name uncultured bacterium. Its description in RNAcentral is "partial 16S ribosomal RNA". It matches the Rfam family "Bacterial small subunit ribosomal RNA", at positions 28 to 507 of the family's 1533-position model. The record is from RNAcentral.